Molecule: ribosomal RNA, 1973 nt
Filed under: Escherichia coli
Lineage: Bacteria; Pseudomonadati; Pseudomonadota; Gammaproteobacteria; Enterobacterales; Enterobacteriaceae
Description: partial 23S ribosomal RNA
Rfam family: Bacterial large subunit ribosomal RNA
Source: RNAcentral
GGGUUGUGAGGUUAAGCGACUAAGCGUACACGGUGGAUGCCCUGGCAGUCAGAGGCGAUGAAGGACGUGCUAAUCUGCGAUAAGCGUCGGUGAGGUGAUAUGAACCGUUAUAACCGGCGAUUUCCGAAUGGGGAAACCCAGUGUGUUUCGACACACUAUCAUUAACUGAAUCCAUAGGUUAAUGAGGCGAACCGGGGGAACUGAAACAUCUAAGUACCCCGAGGAAAAGAAAUCAACCGAGAUUCCCCCAGUAGCGGCGAGCGAACGGGGAGGAGCCCAGAGCCUGAAUCAGUGUGUGUGUUAGUGGAAGCGUCUGGAAAGGCGCGCGAUACAGGGUGACAGCCCCGUACACAAAAAUGCACAUAUUGUGAGCUCGAUGAGUAGGGCGGGACACGUGGUAUCCUGUCUGAAUAUGGGGGGACCAUCCUCCAAGGCUAAAUACUCCUGACUGACCGAUAGUGAACCAGUACCGUGAGGGAAAGGCGAAAAGAACCCCGGCGAGGGGAGUGAAAAAGAACCUGAAACCGUGUACGUACAAGCAGUGGGAGCCUCUUUAUGGGGUGACUGCGUACCUUUUGUAUAAUGGGUCAGCGACUUAUAUUCUGUAGCAAGGUUAACCGAAUAGGGGAGCCGAAGGGAAACCGAGUCUUAACUGGGCGUUAAGUUGCAGGGUAUAGACCCGAAACCCGGUGAUCUAGCCAUGGGCAGGUUGAAGGUUGGGUAACACUAACUGGAGGACCGAACCGACUAAUGUUGAAAAAUUAGCGGAUGACUUGUGGCUGGGGGUGAAAGGCCAAUCAAACCGGGAGAUAGCUGGUUCUCCCCGAAAGCUAUUUAGGUAGCGCCUCGUGAAUUCAUCUCCGGGGGUAGAGCACUGUUUCGGCAAGGGGGUCAUCCCGACUUACCAACCCGAUGCAAACUGCGAAUACCGGAGAAUGUUAUCACGGGAGACACACGGCGGGUGCUAACGUCCGUCGUGAAGAGGGAAACAACCCAGACCGCCAGCUAAGGUCCCAAAGUCAUGGUUAAGUGGGAAACGAUGUGGGAAGGCCCAGACAGCCAGGAUGUUGGCUUAGAAGCAGCCAUCAUUUAAAGAAAGCGUAAUAGCUCACUGGUCGAGUCGGCCUGCGCGGAAGAUGUAACGGGGCUAAACCAUGCACCGAAGCUGCGGCAGCGACACUAUGUGUUGUUGGGUAGGGGAGCGUUCUGUAAGCCUGUGAAGGUGGCCUGUGAGGGUUGCUGGAGGUAUCAGAAGUGCGAAUGCUGACAUAAGUAACGAUAAAGCGGGUGAAAAGCCCGCUCGCCGGAAGACCAAGGGUUCCUGUCCAACGUUAAUCGGGGCAGGGUGAGUCGACCCCUAAGGCGAGGCCGAAAGGCGUAGUCGAUGGGAAACAGGUUAAUAUUCCUGUACUUGGUGUUACUGCGAAGGGGGGACGGAGAAGGCUAUGUUGGCCGGGCGACGGUUGUCCCGGUUUAAGCGUGUAGGCUGGUUUUCCAGGCAAAUCCGGAAAACCAAGGCUGAGGCGUGAUGACGAGGCACUACGGUGCUGAAGCGACAAAUGCCCUGCUUCCAGGAAAAGCCUCUAAGCAUCAGGUAACAUCAAAUCGUACCCCAAACCGACACAGGUGGUCAGGUAGAGAAUACCAAGGCGCUUGAGAGAACUCGGGUGAAGGAACUAGGCAAAAUGGUGCCGUAACUUCGGGAGAAGGCACGCUGAUAUGUAGGUGAAGCGACUUGCUCGUGGAGCUGAAAUCAGUCGAAGAUACCAGCUGGCUGCAACUGUUUAUUAAAAACACAGCACUGUGCAAACACGAAAGUGGACGUAUACGGUGUGACGCCUGCCCGGUGCCGGAAGGUUAAUUGAUGGGGUUAGCGGUAACGCGAAGCUCUUGAUCGAAGCCCCGGUAAACGGCGGCCGUAACUAUAACGGUCCUAAGGUAGCGAAAUUCCUUGUCGGGUAAGUUCCGACCUG